GACGAACCGUGCGGACGUUGUUCGGAAUCACUGGGCUUAAAGGGCGCGUAGGCGGGCUGGUAAGUCAGGGGUGAAAGCCCACGGCCCAACCGUGGAAGUGCCUUUGAUACUGCCAGUCUCGAGGGAGGUAGGGGCGUGCGGAACUUCCGGUGGAGCGGUGAAAUGCGUAGAUAUCGGAAGGAACACCGGUGGCGAAAGCGGCGCGCUGGACCUCUUCUGACGCUGAGGCGCGAAAGCCAGGGGAGCAAACGGG
Molecule: ribosomal RNA, 253 nt
Filed under: uncultured bacterium
Lineage: Bacteria
Description: partial 16S ribosomal RNA
Rfam family: Bacterial small subunit ribosomal RNA
Source: RNAcentral